ACAUGCACCACAGAAAAACCAAGAUGCUCCAAUGCUGUCAGUAAAAGCAAGCCCAGGAUAGGGAGAUGUUGUCACUUUUAGGAGUGUGAACUGAAGACAUCCAUAUUCACAUCUAGUUCGGCUCACUUGUCAUCUGCAUCUCUGGCACCAAGUUCUUUUCCCUCUGUGUGAACGGAAUUUCUUUUGGUGAACUCUGAUGAAGCUUCUGAGAAAAACUUCUGGCCACAAGUUUACUACGUCUGUACUUCACCAUUGUUUUCUUUCUCUGUGAUUUUUUUGAAGUUCUUCAUAAACUGAAGAACAAGUUGGAAGUUCACAUGAGGUGAGAAAGCUGAAAUUACACAGAUUAGGGGUUUCACCUUCUGCUGCAGACUGCUGCCCAAUCAGCUGACGUUCUCUGGGGACACACCUGCCCUUUGCUGAG
Molecule: long non-coding RNA, 424 nt
Filed under: Homo sapiens (human)
Lineage: Eukaryota; Metazoa; Chordata; Mammalia; Primates; Hominidae
Description: HSALNT0406870
Source: RNAcentral